RNAcentral lists this ribosomal RNA (301 nucleotides) under uncultured bacterium. RNAcentral describes it as "partial 16S ribosomal RNA". It matches the Rfam family "Bacterial small subunit ribosomal RNA", at positions 509 to 807 of the family's 1533-position model. The record is from RNAcentral.
CAGUCGCCGCGGGAAUACGUAGGUGGCAAGCGUUGUCCUGAAUUAUUGGGCGUAAAGGGCUCGCAGGCGGUUUCUUAAGUCUGAUGUGAAAGCCCCCGGCUCAACCGGGGAGGGUCAUUGGAAACUGGGAAACUUGAGUGCAGAAGAGGAGAGUGGAAUUCCACGUGUAGCGGUGAAAUGCGUAGAGAUGUGGAGGAACACCAGUGGCGAAGGCGUCUCUCUGGUCUGUAACUGACGCUGAGGAGCGAAAGCGUGGGGAGCGAACAGGAUUAGAUACCCCCGUAGUCCCUGUCUCUUAUAC